CUAGUCUUCCCAGUUAUGCCCUAUUUACUCCUCCCCUUGGCCCUGUGUUACUGGUUAUUCCUUAACGCAUUUGUCCCUCGUUUAGCUUAGUAAUGGGACGACCAAUGCAUUAUGUUUCGUGCUCGGGCUGGGCCUUGUUAGGGCGAGGUCUUCCCUCAGGUGAUUUAUUCUCGUCUAGACCUUUAGUGUUCCCAUCCACCUCCCGAACAGCUUCCCAGCCUCUCCCGCUAUCAAACGGUACAUUACCCAAUCGGUGUGUCAUAGUUCGUGCUAGUAACUGUUAUUACAAGGCGUGGUACUGUGGUGGUUAAUGUCGGUCUACGGUCUCUUAAGUUUUCUUAUCUUCUCUUGGUUUUCUUCCACUCCAG
Non-coding RNA from Pelobates cultripes (western spadefoot toad), 368 nucleotides. The record is from the annotation of a GenBank genome assembly. NCBI's taxonomy places the organism in Eukaryota, Metazoa, Chordata, Amphibia, Anura, Pelobatidae.